RNAcentral lists this ribosomal RNA (426 nucleotides) under uncultured Paenibacillus sp. RNAcentral's name for it is "bacterial SSU rRNA". It matches the Rfam family "Bacterial small subunit ribosomal RNA", at positions 355 to 774 of the family's 1533-position model. Lineage: Bacteria; Bacillati; Bacillota; Bacilli; Caryophanales; Paenibacillaceae. The record is from RNAcentral.
UAGGGAAUCUUCCGCAAUGGACGCAAGUCUGACGGAGCAACGCCGCGUGAGUGACGAAGGUCUUCGGAUCGUAAAGCUCUGUUGCCAAGGAAGAACGCCUGGGAGAGUAACUGCUCCCAGGGUGACGGUACUUGAGAAGAAAGCCCCGGCUAACUACGUGCCAGCAGCCGCGGUAAUACGUAGGGGGCAAGCGUUGUCCGGAAUUAUUGGGCGUAAAGCGCGCGCAGGCGGCCAUUUAAGUCUGGUGUUUAAGCCCGGGGCUCAACCCCGGUUCGCACUGGAAACUGGGAGGCUGGAGUGCAGGAGAGGGAAGCGGAAUUCCACGUGUAGCGGUGAAAUGCGUAGAGAUGUGGAGGAACACCAGUGGCGAAGGCGGCUUCCUGGCCUGUAACUGACGCUGAGGCGCGAAAGCGUGGGGAGCAAACA